GAUCAUGGCUCAGGAUGAACGCUAGCGACAGGCUUAACACAUGCAAGUCGAGGGGCAGCAUAAAAGUAGCAAUACUUGGUGGCGACCGGCGCACGGGUGAGUAACGCGUAUGCAACCUACCUAUCAGAGGGGAUAACCCGGCGAAAGUCGGACUAAUACCGCAUAAAACAGGGGCACCGCAUGGUGAUAUUUGUUAAAAAUUUAUUGCUGAUAGAUGGGCAUGCGUUCCAUUAGGUAGUUGGAGAGGUAACGGCUCACCAAGCCUACGAUGGAUAGGGGAACUGAGAGGCUGGUCCCCCACACUGGUACUGAGACACGGACCAGACUCCUACGGGAGGCAGCAGUGAGGAAUAUUGGUCAAUGGGCGAGAGCCUGAACCAGCCAAGUCGCGUGAAAGGAAGAAGGAUCUAUGGUUCGUAAACUUCUUUUGCAGGGGAAUAAAGUGCAGGACGUGUCCUGUUUUGUAUGUACCCUGAGAAUAAGGAUCGGCUAACUCCGUGCCAGCCGCAGC
This 511-nucleotide ribosomal RNA is filed under the name uncultured bacterium. Its description in RNAcentral is "bacterial SSU rRNA". It matches the Rfam family "Bacterial small subunit ribosomal RNA", at positions 15 to 518 of the family's 1533-position model. The record is from RNAcentral.